RNAcentral lists this ribosomal RNA (373 nucleotides) under uncultured organism. RNAcentral describes it as "bacterial SSU rRNA". It matches the Rfam family "Bacterial small subunit ribosomal RNA", at positions 526 to 896 of the family's 1533-position model. The record is from RNAcentral.
CGUAGGGUGCGAGCGCUAAUCGGAAUUACUGGGCGUAAAGCGUGCGCAGGCGGUUUGUUAAGAUAGGCGUGAAACUCCCCGGGCUCAACCGUGGGAACUGCGCUUAUGACUGGCAAGCUAGAGUACGGCAGAGGGGGUGGAAUUCCACGUGUAGCAGUGAAAUGCGUAGAGAUGUGGAGGAACACCAAUGGCGAAGGCAGCCCCCUGGGUCGAUACUGACGCUCAUGCACGAAAGCGUGGGUAGCAAACAGGAUUAGAUACCCUGGUAGUCCACGCCCUAAACGAUGUCAACUAGGUGUUGGGAGGGUAAAACCUUUUAGUACCGGAGCUAACGCGUGAAGUUGACCGCCUGGGGAGUACGGCCGCAAGGUUA